UAGGGAAUGCAGUUUCCCUUUCCAGGGACAUCCCAGCCUCCCUGUGGGCACCUUCUCCUCACCUCGAGGCCAAGCUGGAGAGCUCGUGCUUGCUGACAGGAGCCAGGGCUGAACUUAUUUUCCUUCCAUGAAGACAAGAGUAAUUAAAUCCAGCAGAACUUUUUUUUUUUUUUUUCUGGUGGCUGCAGAAAUGUGGAGUAUCCCCAGGCUUGAGGUGAAUUUGGGUGGGAAUCCCAGCUCCUGGAGACAGGAUUCCUGGGAAUAUUCCUGUGCCCCCUCUGGAGCCUGUCCCGCCUGCCCCAGGGCUCUCCUCCUUCCAGAAUUGUCAUCUGGAGUUUCCGCUGGCUCAUUUUCAGGAUCAUGCUCGGAGCGGGGCUGAUUAAAAUCCGAGGGGAUCGCUGCUGGAGGGAAUUAACCUGCAUGGAUUAUCACUACGAGGUGAGCGAUGUGCACACAAAACCUCGUUUCUCUUGUCUGCUUUUCUUUUGUAAAAUCAUUUCCCGCAGCCUUUCCUCUCGUGCCGGGCAGCUCUCCGUGUUUUCCCUCUUUAUCCCAGCCCCUGGCACUCGGGCCGUGUGCCUGUGCCAGCUGGGUGAUGCUGUUUUUCCCAACCACAAUCCUAAAAACACCAAUUCCUCUGCUCCCCUCCCCGCCGUGGAUCCAGGAGCAAAGCUGAGCCUCGCUGAGAACUCGCAGUGUAAAUCUGCUGCGGGGCAGGGACAGAAAGGAGAUUUUUUUUUUUUUUUUUUGUGGUGGUGGUGUUGUUCCUGCUUACACCUCCCAAAAAAAAGUGACCAUGUGAGAGCAGAGAGCAUCUCCGUGCUCUCCAACCCACGGAGCAGAUC
Non-coding RNA from Sturnus vulgaris (Common starling), 845 nucleotides. Lineage: Eukaryota; Metazoa; Chordata; Aves; Passeriformes; Sturnidae. The record is from RefSeq and is a predicted model, not a curated record.